AAUGACCGAAGCUUCAAGACUUUGACAUGUGUGAAAACAUGAAAUGACCCUUGGCUCUUAUUGUUCUUGCUGGUGUGGUAUGUUCACGGCUGAAAAGAUGGUCAGAAGGGGAAAGGAGGAAGUGAGAAGAAAGAAACAGGGAAAUGACAGAGUGUUGCUCAGUUACCCAGGCUGGAGUGCAAUGGCAUGAUCUUGGCUCACUGCAGCCUCCACCUCCUGGGUUCAAGCGGUUCUCGUGCCUCAGUCUCCCAAGUAGCUGGGAUUACAGGCUGGAGUGCGAUGGCAUGAUCUUGGCUCACGGCAAACUCCGCCUCCCUGGUUCAAGUGAUUCUCCUGCCUCAGCCUCCCGAGUAGCCGGGAUUACAGGCAUGUGCCACCAUGCCCCGUUGGCCAGGCUGGUCUCGAACACCUUACCUCAGGUGAUCCUCCCACCUUUGGGAUUACAGGUGAGCCCAGCCUAUUG
This is a long non-coding RNA of Homo sapiens (human), 463 nucleotides long. Ensembl annotates it as PCED1B antisense RNA 1. Its record names the gene PCED1B-AS1. NCBI's taxonomy places the organism in Eukaryota, Metazoa, Chordata, Mammalia, Primates, Hominidae. The record is from Ensembl.